GGCAGGCUUAACACAUGCAAGUCGAGGGGUAACAGGGAUUGCUUGCAAUCCGCUGACGACCGGCGCACGGGUGCGUAACGCGUAUGCAACCUACCUUUUACAAGGGGAUAGCCCAGAGAAAUUUGGAAUAAUACCCUAUACGAUCAUUAAUUGGCAUCAAUUAAUGAAGAAAACUCCGGUGGUAAAAGAUGAGCAUGCGUCCUAUUAGUUUGUAGGUGAGGUAACGGCUCACCUAGACUACGAUAGGUAGGGGCCCUGAGAGGGGGAUCCCCCACACUGGUACUGAGACACGGACCAGACUCCUACGGGAGGCAGCAGUAAGGAAUAUUGGACAAUGGACGAAAGUCUGAUCCAGCCAUGCCGCGUGCAGGAUGAAAGCCCUAUGGGUUGUAAACUGCUUUUAUACAGGAAGAAACACUCCGACGUGUCGGAGCUUGACGGUACUGUAAGAAUAAGGAUCGG
This 462-nucleotide ribosomal RNA is filed under the name uncultured Bacteroidota bacterium. RNAcentral's name for it is "bacterial SSU rRNA". It matches the Rfam family "Bacterial small subunit ribosomal RNA", at positions 41 to 496 of the family's 1533-position model. Lineage: Bacteria; Pseudomonadati; Bacteroidota. The record is from RNAcentral.